AGCGAACGCUGGCGGCAGGCCUAACACAUGCAAGUCGAACGAACCUUUCGGGGUUAGUGGCGGACGGGUGAGUAACACGUGGGAACGUGCCUUUAGGUUCGGAAUAACUCAGGGAAACUUGUGCUAAUACCGAAUGUGCCCUUCGGGGGAAAGAUUAAUCGCCUUUAGAGCGGCCCGCGUCUGAUUAGCUAGUUGGUUGAGGUAAUGGCUCACCAAGGCGACGAUCAGUAGCUGGUCUGAGAGGAUGAUCAGCCACAUUGGGACUGAGACACGGCCCAAACUCCUACGGGAGGCAGCAGUGGGGAAUCGUGCGCAAUGGGCGAAAGCCUGACGCAGCCAUGCCGCGUGAAUGAUGAAGGUCUUAGGAUUGUAAAAUUCUUUCAACGGGGAAGAUAAUGACGGUACCCGGAGAAGAAGCCCCGGCUAACUUCGUG
RNAcentral lists this ribosomal RNA (434 nucleotides) under uncultured bacterium. RNAcentral describes it as "partial 16S ribosomal RNA". It matches the Rfam family "Bacterial small subunit ribosomal RNA", at positions 29 to 507 of the family's 1533-position model. The record is from RNAcentral.